Molecule: unclassified non-coding RNA, 331 nt
Filed under: uncultured Mortierella
Lineage: Eukaryota; Fungi; Mortierellomycota; Mortierellomycetes; Mortierellales; Mortierellaceae
Description: partial contains 5.8S ribosomal RNA, internal transcribed spacer 2, and large subunit ribosomal RNA
Source: RNAcentral
AACGCACAUUGCACUCUCUGGUAUUCCGGAGAGUAUGCUUGUUUGAGUAUCAGUAAACACCUCAAAUCUCUUUUUUAUUAAAGAGAAUUGGACUUGAGCAAUCCCAACUCUUUGCAAAAAGGGGCGGGUUGCUUGGAAUGCAGGUGCAGCUGGACAUUCUUCUGAGCUAAAAGCAUAUUUAUUUAGUCCCGUCAAACGGAUUAUUACUUUUGCUCUAGCUAAUAUAAAGGUCGAAUGUGCUAUAUGCUGACUGAUGCAGGAUUACCAAGUUUUACUAGCUAAAACUUGUAAACUCGAUCUCAAAUCAAGUAAGACUACCCGCUGAACUUAA